GGUCAGGAGGCUGAGCAUCCCUUUGGUGCCAUGCAGAGACUUCCAGCCAUGGAACAACCAUUUGGUGAAGAGUAGACUUUGAGUCAUGGAGCUUUUGCAGGUCCACGGAACUAGGAGGCAUCUAAGGAAGACAAGCAGGCACUUCAGUCAAACUUGUGAUGAGAGAAGAAGAGGCACAACUCUUGGAGAUUAAGAGAAUUUGGAAAGUGAAAGAAAUCCAAAUAGGUACUCAUUGGACCCUCAGUGUAUCAGAUUCUGGUGAAGACCUGGCAGCCUUGGAUCUUAGAGAUGACAGGACACAAAGAGGGAAGUCCACAGAGGUCCUUCAAAGGACUUAGGCUUUCAAAGGUGGCAGCAAAGAUCUGUUGAAACCUUAAUCCUCAGCAUUCCAGAACACAGCUUCCUCGACUGCCAUCCCAUCUGUAAUUAGUUUGGAUGAAGUCUUCCUGGGAUAGGAUGGUCUGUGGUAUGAUGCCCCAAAGCAUGUCACACAAAAGAAACCACAGAGUGCAUAUUCUAAAGACCCAGAGACAGAGUUCAGGGUGUGAUGAGAUAGAGAAUUCUCCAAGAGAAAGAAUUGUUCAUUUAUUAUCCCCAGGUAGCUGGAAUAUAGUGGACACUCAGCAAACACUUGCUUCAUAUUACUUAAUAAUGAAUGAACACCAAGUGUAUUCUGUUGGCUAA
RNAcentral lists this long non-coding RNA (684 nucleotides) under Mus caroli (Ryukyu mouse). Its description in RNAcentral is "lncRNA (MGP_CAROLIEiJ_G0003076.1)". The record is from RNAcentral. Lineage: Eukaryota; Metazoa; Chordata; Mammalia; Rodentia; Muridae.